Molecule: long non-coding RNA, 342 nt
Filed under: Elaeis guineensis (African oil palm)
Lineage: Eukaryota; Viridiplantae; Streptophyta; Magnoliopsida; Arecales; Arecaceae
Description: long non-coding RNA (EGUI_LNC044421)
Source: RNAcentral
AUUCUGACUAUGAUCAGAGGGAUCAGAGGGUCGUCGAUGGGAUGCGACAUAGUUAUGUGCUCUCAUUCUUGUUAUGCUCUCUUUCUUCCUUGAUCAGACUAUUGGCCCUUUCUUUAACACUAAUUUAUUACUGCAAGACUAUAGUUUGAGGCUAAUGUGGUUGAGGUCAGACUCCUUCUCACCCGAGGCUCAAUGUUGAUCCGAUGAUGGGGUGCAUCUAGGAGAACUUGCAAAGAAAGCCUACUCUUGUCGGGAGUUCUCUGGGGUAAGUCUCUGAUGCUUAAGUCAGUCGGAGCUUGAAAAUGAUAGAGGAAAAAGAGAGAGGAAGAGCAAGAGUGACUA